GGUGAUUAAGAAGAGGGGAACAGGGAGUCAGAGCUCAUUCCUCAUCGUCUCUCUCCAUUCCCCAAUCUCAAAUCAGAAGAAAUCCGGAGGGGGAGAAGAGAGGGCGAGCUGCAAGGUUCUCUUCAACGAAUCAGAGGACGAGAGAGAGAGGAUGGCCGGCGCUGCUGUUGGAGAGAUGGUGUGCAGAGUUUGUUUGAGCCCUUGCUACCGCGAGAGCAGGACAAGUGGGAUGAGCAUGUUUGUCUGGAAUGAGUUCAAAAACGCAGGGGUUGUGCCAUUCAACGAAAGAGUUGGUUUCAACGACUUGACAGGGGAUACACUGAAGUUUAAGGCAAACAAACGAACAUACACCGUUAAGUGUCACAAGGGGCCCACAAAGAGCGCAAUGUAUGGUAGUGGAUGGAGGAAAUUUGUUGCAGACAACAAGUUGGGGAAGGGUCAGCUAGUUCUCUUCUACUUGGACCAGCCUUCCCCAAGGGCAGUUUUUCUGUGUGAUUCAAUUCGAAAUGGUGCCGAAGAUGAAGGAUCUGAGGGUGAGAAUGACUACAUGGAAGUCUCAGAUGAAGAAGACGAGGAUAUACAAGCUGACAACGUACAAUGCUGACGGUGAUGAUAUUGUUCGCACUAGGGGGGCUUGAGUCGACUCAGGAAGAGGAGUCAGAUCUAGAUAGGCUGCUUCCGCUCAACAAUGGGUUCAUAGGGUUGGCAUUUGUGCACCGCCUCAUGAGGACUAAUGUUCUUUUGGGAAGCAUGGUAUUGAAUUACAGGGUCAUGAUAGUAGAGCUGCAGGUCAUUCAUGAAGCAGGAACUUAAAGAGGGCACAAGUAAUCUUUUUUUUUUCAAGAAAAGCUCGUACAUGUGGUGCAAAUGCACUUGGAGAUGGUUGGAAUGCCAUAUUCAUCGCAGGCUGUUGUUGCUGCACAUACUGGACACCAAGGUAUGGCUGCCAUGGAAACACAAAUCAUGCUUAUGUCAGUUUCUGGGAUGGUGACACAACUCGAACAUAUGUAUUUACAAUCUAAGAGAUUUUUUGUUUUCGCAUUUUUUUAUGUUACUUGGACUGGGGUCACUAAAUUAUGUGGAGCUGGAGCAUGACUGCUUGGAAAUCUCUGUGCCAAAGUAUUCACUGGCUGCUACACGAAAUGCAGAAGACAAGAAACUUGAACAACACGCUGAGACAAAGUUGGAGUUUUCUGACAGAGGAACGUACAACUGGGAGAGAAGCAAAAAGUUUUCCUGUCGUUUAGCUGUACAUGGGCCUUUUGCUCUCCUGUUGUGUGUUUGCUGCGUUCAUGGGCAGGGACACAGGUACAGCGGGCCAAACAAACAGCAAAAACAAAAAACAAACAAGCAAGCAAAGCCCACACCAUAAGCCCAUCACGGGGAAAUUAAAACCCAUCAGGGAGGGACGCUAAACAGGCCUAAUCUGUCAGGGUCUCAGUCGACUGAGACCUAGACAAUCCCUUUUUCUUUUCUCCCCGGUGCAUGCAUCCCUCGUCCUUCUAUUUUUACAUACACAGUAGAAUCGUGGAUGCUCGCACACAAACACUGAAAUCUUUUCCCAAUUUUACUUCGAAUUUUUGGCACUGUUCAAAUUGGGAGAGAGAGUGGGGGGAUAGAGCCACUGUUAGACUUAGAGAUAUUUGAUUGUAAUCUUAACUACUUAUCUCUUCCUCUCCCUGUUAACCUCCUAUCCUUAUCCUGCCGUAUCCUAGCUAUCGGUACGAUCGUUGUAAACCACGGCAGGGGUUGUUCCUGCCCUCAAUCAAUAAAUACUCGCGGCUCUUCUACGGAGGAGUAGGAAC
This is a long non-coding RNA of Triticum aestivum (bread wheat), 1805 nucleotides long. RefSeq lists it as uncharacterized. NCBI's taxonomy places the organism in Eukaryota, Viridiplantae, Streptophyta, Magnoliopsida, Poales, Poaceae. The transcript is spliced from 5 exons. The record is from RefSeq and is a predicted model, not a curated record.